This 6224-nucleotide long non-coding RNA is filed under the name Equus asinus (donkey). RNAcentral describes it as "lncRNA (ENSEASG00005031699.1)". Lineage: Eukaryota; Metazoa; Chordata; Mammalia; Perissodactyla; Equidae. The record is from RNAcentral.
CUCUCUGUAAAUCUUAGAGGAAAAGGGAAACAGGCAGAUGGGGCCAGAUUUUAAGAAGGGGGUUUUACACUGGAUUUUGUUUUAGGUCUAAAUUUUUAUUCUUUCAUCUUGUUAGGUAGACCCUAAGUCUAGCUGUUAUAUAUACAGUUUUUUUCUUUUUCUUCUUAAGUGCUAAACAAUUGUACUUCAAUGUCCUGAUUUUUAUAAUAUCUGUAAAUGUCUGAAGGCAAAUAAGAAGGGGUCUGAGUGGACUUUGUUCUAAUUUCUGUUUUUUCAUCUUAUUAAGGGAGUCUUAAUGGCUAGCCAUUAUACCAACAUGUGAGCUCUCUAAAAAUUUUUUCCAGUUUAGAAGUUUUUCCAAUGCAAAGGAUCCAUCAGCUGGCCAUUGACAAGUAAGUUCUUAAUAGCAACUCAACCCAAUAAGCCUUUUUAUGGCUUAACUAUGGAUGCAAGAGGUGUCCCCAAAGGAGAAUGGGAAGGAUGAAGCCCUCCCAAGAUCCAAGAAGUUUACUCCCAAAGAUAGUCUUAAGACAGAAGGACCUCUUAUGACAAACUCCCUUGAGAGCUGGCACACUUGGACAAAGAGACUCAGAACCCCAAUCUAUUUGAUUGGCUACCAGUGCACCCUGGUAAAUGCACCUUCUGGAUUGGCAGAGACCAGAGAGAAUUUUCUCACUGGUCAAAAAGCCAACCUCUCGGGACAUAUAACGAGGAAAGAAAACCUCAUACUGUGAGCCGGUUCAAACAGGGAAACCCUUCCAGACAGCAAAAGCCGUGAGCUGACUUUGCCUAUGGAAUUUCCUUCUAAGGACAAAUGACACAAUAGAAAAGCAGUGACCAUCUCUGGGAGGAAAUGGAUCAAGAAUACUCUACCAAAUUUACCAGAGUUGCUUAAGUUCAAGAAACCACUUUUACAAAUAUUUUCUCCUAAUGUAAAUUUAGGAAAGAGAAAAAAAAGACUAUUACCACUGUUACUUCCAAAAGACCCUGGAGCAGGCAGAGAUCCAGGAGCCUGCCAGUGCUUGCCAGAUGUCCCAAGAUCUCUCAGCUACAGCAGCCUCAGAGGCAGCAGAGUCCAUCCAGAGAACUUUAUCCUGCUGACCACUCCAAAUGUGUGGAAGGAAGGAAUUUUCCUUUACUUCCUAGGUUCUUCUGGCUGGUCUAAGAAUUAAACUGAGACAAAUUAAUAGGAGAAAAUCAAAUUUAACUGCAUACAUACAGGAAGCCCACAUACACAAAAGGGUGAGAGACCCCCACAUACAUGAGAGGUUGAGACAAAAAGGUAAAAUGAGGCAUAUAUGCCAUCUUGACCUAAGGAAUGGGAUAGGGGCCUGAGGCUUCUGAGGCGAGAAGGGUAAUUCACAGGAUGAUAAGAAGAGCAGAUGUUUAGUAAUUAGAGGUUUGCCCUGCCAUACAAAUAGGUCAUAAAAAUUUACUUCUGGUAAUAACUCAAUUUGGGCAAAGCCCCAAUUUAAAUUCUUGAAAGGAGAGGUAAAAGUUUCUUGAGCCUGCAGGGUCUUGAUUGCCAUUAGCUCAAAAUAUUUUAUGUGCCAAAGUAUCACAUCCUGGGGAAGCCUGUUCUGAAGGCCUUCAGUGCUAAGGAGGCUGAGGGAGGCAGAGGCCAACGAAGCAUGUUGAAACCACCCAGGAAAAAAGCAGGAACUGGGCACAGAAGACCAGGGGCAAGGCUCCAGAGAUAAAGAGGGACAUUCAGGUGCUUUAUAGAUGACAGUGACAAAGAAGCUUUCCCCAAUAUUGCUUUGCUCUGUAAAAACAUCAAAUGCUAACUUCUCAUUUCACCUGGAUUAUUCCCAUGAAGCAGGUGAAGCAAAUUUCUAUCAGGGCAGAAUCUUGGCCAGUGUCCAGGGGAAGGAGCCUGCCCUCUCUGCCUCCCUUAGCCCUACGUGCAAAGGAGACCAAAUCCUCUGGAAAUACAAGCACAUGCAACUUCCGUAGUCCUAAAAUUUAAUGGACUUGCUACCGGUCACAUUGAGAAAGGAGGGAAAUUGAGCAGGAAUAGUAGACUCACACGACAUUUCUAACAGGGCUGAUUUCUCUCCACUGUAUCCUGCUCUUAGCCCAGUAUAUCCACCUUACCACCACCCUCCCCCCCCACACACACAAAAAAAAGCCUAGCUGUUUUUUCUUUAGCAAACCAAACAAAGCCAGGCACUCAAUAAAUAUUUGUUGAAUGAAUGAAUAAAUCAACGCAUGGCUCACGCAUGAAAAGCUUCUCAAUAAUUCAAAAGCAAAACUAAAAAUCCUGUUGUGCUGUUGUGUUAAUGAACUCUGAACAGUUGGUUGUUUCUUGGCAACUGCAGUUUUCACAAGAAUGAGAUUAAAUGGCUUUUUACAUCCUGUGUUUGGAAACAGAACAGGAGGUUUUGCAGGAAGUAGGCUCAGUUUGAAUCCAGUUGAACAGGUAUAUUACUUUGUAUUGUGUGUUUUUCUUUAGACAAGGAGAAACCACUUUUCUUCUUUGUUAAAGAGAAUGUUUGAGCCCAAGGAAACACAAAAAGCAGUAGCAGCACUGGGUCUGUUACUUAGCUGUAUGGUUUUGAAAGAGUUCCUUUUCUGGAUCUAUUUCAGCAUUUAUAACCUCAGACUGGAUUAGUGUAUUUUAAAUUUAAUGAGGCACUAAUUUUUUUGAAAAUGUAAUGAAAUUUUAUCAAUGCUCUCCUCCAAAAACGUACAUACCCAAUUUUGCAUAUAAUUUCAGGGUAUUCAAAGUCCCCCAGACAUCCAUGAACUCCCCCAGAUUAGGAACAUCUGGACCAGAUGCUCUCUAAACUCUUCUGGGCUCUAAGAUUGGUUCCACAAAUUUCUAACAGUAAAAAAAAAAAACCCCAAAAAACAAAAAAAAAGUAAACCACUUACACUAUGGUUUUCAUUCUAAAAUCAACUAUAUUGUAAAAGAUUCCUGAUUGGAGCAAGAGACUUUUCAAGCCACAGGUUCUUCUUUAAAAUGUGGCAGAUAUGUAAGCAGAUAAAAGUGUGACAAUCUGGUAGUAUGUGCUGAAUAUAGUAAUUAUCCUUUUAUAGUGUUAAGUUAAAAUUCACUUCAAAACACAAUUACAAGAGUACUGAUUCUUCUCAAACAGCAGGUGAGCCUUCCUUGGGAUAAAGACUCAGGGCACCAGGGACAUUCUGGAAGCAAAAGAAUGCAUAAAGCAUGUGAUUUAGGAAAGCAGUUUUAUUCAAAGUUUUUUUUUCUCUUUGGAUGAGAGAAUAUUACCUUCACAUUAAAAUACACAGAUACGUCAUGGAGAAAACUUCAAAAAGUCCUAUUUUUUUUAAGAUAAAAUAUGACAGUUCAAAAAAAUGUCCUGCUUACUCAUUCUUUGUCCCAUGCCCAGGGGACACCCACUCCAGCAAUUCUCACUCCUUUGACCUGAGUGGUUCUCUGGUGGAAAUAGUUAAGAAGCAGUAAAUAGGAAAAUAAUUUAAAUAGUAUAAUAACUUGUGACUUUUCACACAAUAAGGAAGAUAACUACCACAAAAGGAAGGAAUUACCAUAAAACAGUGAAGAACUACAUGGGUUUCCAGGAGACUGAGGAUUAGUUUGACUUCAGCGUUUCACUGCCCCGGGAGUGCUUACACGUGCGGUCGCCAAAGUAAGGUACACACGAGACAAGGCCUUCCUUGUGCUGCAAUGACAACCUGAGCAUCCAAAAUAUAAUCAUUUCUACAAGACCCAAACCAACAUCAAUUAAAACAAACCUGAAUUAAACAGGUACUGACAAUUCAGAACACCAGAGAACAAACGUUCCCAGAAAUAAAUGGGUCUUUAAGUGCUACAGGAUUCUAUUAUAGCUCAAAUGGGGGUUGAAGGACGCACAUCAACGUAUGCAUUAACCUCCUGCUUGUCAAACUGACCUACUGUGGCAUUUAUGAGACUAAUUACAUGCUUCAGGAUUUACUCUGUUGGAAGGUUGUACAAAGCUGUCACUUCUAACACAUCUCCGAAUCUCCAAAUCUUACAAAAAUUUGUAUUUCAUGACUUCAAAUCCACUUGUUGAUAAGGACAAAUAAAAGUUGUUCUUAGAAGCAAAGUUGUUUUUGACACGAGUGAUGUAAGCUGUAUCAGCAUAUCAUCUCAUCUGUCGUCACUGAUAAUACCCAGUAGCUGAGCUGAUGACAAACACUGGGGGUGGGGGGGGGCCGAAUAUCAAUAAGAACAUGUGGAGAAGGAAUUACGGCAAAUGGACGUUUAGACUAUAAAUAAAAGUUUGUGAGGACUACUCAGUUUGCGUCGGGCAAGGUGACUCCUUGCUGACCUAAACAGUCGUGUACCACGUAUUGAGGUGUUGGUCAACCCACGGACCACAAAUACAACGGUGGCCACAUAAAAUUAGUCCCAUAUAGCCUGGGUGUGUAGUAGGCUGUACCAUAUAAGUUUGUGUAAGUGCACUCUAUACUGUUUGCACAACAAAAUCACCUAACAACGCAUUUCUGAGGACUUACCCCUGUUAAGUAAGCGGAAGCAAUGUGUGACUGCCAGCUCUCCGAAACCCCUGGGGCAUGAGCUCCUGCCAUGGUAAAGGCCACUCUAAGCAGCAGUGGCAAAAGCCCUCGAGAAAAUCUUGUGCUGCCAACAUCCGAGCGGUAGUCCCCUAGCAAGCGGCUCCAGCAACAGAGGCCUUUUCACUUUCCUUUUGAGGCGGCAGCAGGACGCCAGCUCUCGGUUAGCCAAGCCAUCUCUCUUGAGCGCCUACCGUAUAAAAAGGUACACCUCAGCCGCACUUAUUUCUGUCAUCUCUCCUUGCCUGGAACAAUAACAUGAUUCAUCUAUCACUGGAGUACGUUAUGUUAUGCUAUUAUUUUUAUUGGCUUAUUAAGAGACAUCUUAAUCUGCAUGCUACUGGUUUGUGAAACGACUAUAAAUCCCACAGCGAACUUGUGUUAAAAACUGGCAAAUACAAUCUCAGUCUCUGAGCAUAAUUUCGCGCCCCCCCAAACAAAACAAAACCUCAAUAACAAAUUAAGGCUAUCUUUACUUUUAUUAACGUUUGACUUCGCACUUAAGCUGGCGAGGUGGUGAAACGAAAAAAAAAAGUGAGUUUUCCUUCCGGAACGCUCCCCAAGGAUGAGUAAAAAAAAAGGUAAAGUAAAUUGCCAGUAGUCGAACAAGUAAAGGCAAGCCAAGGAUGAGCGUUUCUUCCUCAGAUACUGUCUUUACAUCCCUCAAGCCAGAGUCCUCCUCCCCCGCCUGGGUGUGCCAUAACGCUGCCUAACUUGACCCCACAGUUAGACAACCGAACCAAGCUGGAAGGAAAGGGGUGCAGGGCGGGAUUCUCCGGCCCCGGGCAGGCAGUCACCCGGGAAGCGGACUUCCAGGGACCCGACUUCGCCACCGUCCCCGUAACCGGGACCCCAAGUGCCACCCCUCCUUGCCCUGUUAGGAGAGAAGGUGAGAGAGAAAGCCUCAUUCCACUGCUUCCUGCACAAAAAGGAAACCUAACUCCUGUCCCCAGCAUCACAGCUCACAAUAAAUGGGCGGUAACACUUUUUCCCCGCACAGCAUCGCCACGGUCAGCCUCACCGACUCCCGCCCAGGCCGGAACCAGGCCCGCCCCUUCUUUGGACGUCACGGAAACGGGGGGCUUCCGCAGAGGAUGUCCCGCCCCACUCCCCUCAGAAGCGCCGAGCUCACAGCUUCCUAGAAUAUGCCUGCGAGACCCCCAUUCUUUUCUUCCUUGCAAUGAGAACCUUCUCAUGUGGAGUUCUUCCUUAUUCUCUUCAUGGAAGUUCCGCGUGAUCUGCGAGCGCUGACACCCUUUCCACAGAUGCAGGCGCCUAAGAGGCAGCCCUGCGGUCUUGACGUAAAUUUGAGCGCCGGCGUAGGAAGGCCCUCCCCCCCCCCAACCUUCCUCUUGCAUCCGCUUUCGUCAUUUUUCUGCGUUUGGCCGGGCUCGCGGAAGAGGCACGUGCGCUGCUGAAUGGAGCUGGUAGCCGGUUGCUACGAGCAGGUCCUUUUUGGGUUCGCUGUACACCCAGAACCCAAGGCGAGUGAAGACCACGAGCAGAAAUGGACACCUGUGGCUGACUUCACUCACCACGCCCACACUGCCUCCUUGUCAGCGGUGGCUGUAAAUAGUCGUUUUGUAGUCACUGGGAGCAAAGAUGAAACAAUUCACAUUUAUGACAUGAAAAAGAAGAUAGACCAUGGGGCUCUAGUACAUCACAAUGAAGCUGGGCUUUGAGUGAUUUCAACAUACAUUCGU